RNAcentral lists this small nucleolar RNA (93 nucleotides) under Helicosporidium sp. ATCC 50920. Its description in RNAcentral is "Small nucleolar RNA U31b". It matches the Rfam family "Small nucleolar RNA U31b". The record is from Rfam by way of RNAcentral. Lineage: Eukaryota; Viridiplantae; Chlorophyta; Trebouxiophyceae; Chlorellales; Chlorellaceae.
GGGUGUGAUGAUAAUGAUGUCGCCCCAAUCUUAGUGCCCGCAGCCUGGGCAUCAGCGGUGAUGAUCGACUUAGCCAAAACAAUUAUCUGACCC